Molecule: ribosomal RNA, 222 nt
Filed under: uncultured bacterium
Lineage: Bacteria
Description: partial 16S ribosomal RNA
Rfam family: Bacterial small subunit ribosomal RNA
Source: RNAcentral
GCAAGUCGAGCGCUUCCCUUCGGGGAGGAGCGGCGGACGGGUUAGUAACGCGUGGGAAUAUACCCUUUUCUACGGAAUAGCCUCGGGAAACUGAGAGUAAUACCGUAUACGCCCUUCGGGGGAAAGAUUUAUCGGUGAAGGAUUAGCCCGCGUAAGAUUAGAUAGUUGGUGGGGUAAUGGCCUACCAAGUCUACGAUCUUUAGCUGGUUUGAGAGGAUGAUC